This 458-nucleotide ribosomal RNA is filed under the name uncultured bacterium. RNAcentral's name for it is "partial 16S ribosomal RNA". It matches the Rfam family "Bacterial small subunit ribosomal RNA", at positions 338 to 795 of the family's 1533-position model. The record is from RNAcentral.
CCUACGGGUGGCAGCAGUGAGGAAUAUUGGUCAAUGGGCGAGAGCCUGAACCAGCCAAGUCGCGUGAGGGAGUACUGCCCUAUGGGUUGUAAACCUCUUUUGUCGGGGAGCAAAAGUCGGACGUGUCCGGCUGUGAGAGUACCCGAAGAAAAAGCAUCGGCUAACUCCGUGCCAGCAGACGCGGUAAUACGGAGGAUGCGAGCGUUAUCCGGAUUAAUUGGGUUAAAGGGGGGCGCAGGCGGUCUGUUAAGUCAGCGGUCAAAGCGCGGGGGUAACCCCCGGGCCGCCGUUGAUACUGGCAGUCUCGAGUUGGAGAGAAGUAUGCGGAAUGCGCGGUGUAGCGGUGAAAUGCAUAGAUAUCGCGCAGAACUCCGAUUGCGAAGGCAGCAUGCCGGCUCCACACUGACGCUGAGGCACGAAAGCGUGGGUAUCGAACAGGAUUAGAUACCCCUGUAGUC